UGCCUAACACAUGCAAGUCGAAUGUGCCGCAAGGUGCAUGGCAGACGGGUGAGUAACGCGUGGGUAAUCUACCUCUUAGUGGGGAAUAACGUUCCGAAAGGAAUGGUAAUACCGCAUGAGACCGAUGACUGGAAUGUUGUCGGUGAAACCUGGGGACCUUCGGGCCUGGGGCUAGGAGAGGAACCUGCGUCUGAUUAGCUAGUUGGUGGGGUAAUGGCCUACCAAGGCGACGAUCAGUAGCCGGCCUGAGAGGGUGAUCGGCCACACUGGAACUGAGACACGGUCCAGACUCCUACGGGAGGCAGCAGUGGGGAAUUUUGCGCAAUGGACGAAAGUCUGACGCAGCAACGCCGCGUGGGUGAUGAAGGUCUUCGGAUUGUAAAACCC
This 387-nucleotide ribosomal RNA is filed under the name uncultured organism. RNAcentral's name for it is "bacterial SSU rRNA". It matches the Rfam family "Bacterial small subunit ribosomal RNA", at positions 45 to 433 of the family's 1533-position model. The record is from RNAcentral.